Molecule: long non-coding RNA, 1216 nt
Organism: Coffea eugenioides
Lineage: Eukaryota; Viridiplantae; Streptophyta; Magnoliopsida; Gentianales; Rubiaceae
Exons: 3
Source: RefSeq, a predicted model, not a curated record
GAAACCUUCUUACUUGUAUAUAGCUGAGCUUCUUUAAUGGGUCGUCCACGGAAAUAUGCAAGCUUGGAAGAGGCGACUAGAGAGAGGAAUGCGAGGAGACAUACGGCAGCGUGGCAAUGCGAGUGCUAAUGACAAUUCUGGAGAAUGCCGAGAUACUGCUGCGAGGACAAGACUUUCUGUACCUAUCGAGCAACCUUCUAGCGGCCCUUCAUUUGUGGAAUUGAGCUAUAAGGGGACGAUUGGUAUCAAUACUGAAGGAAUAAACAAUCGAGAUGGACAUCGCGUUGGAUCGACCUGUUUGCAUUCAAAUGGUAGUUCUAUCAGUCAUGUAGGUAACAAAAGAACGGGACAAGAUUGUGCAAAUGAUUGCCUGUUAUUCUCAUGGUAGUUAAAUACAAAAUAGAGAAGCAACUGAUCAUUGAUUAGUUCUCCUGUUUAGGCUCAUUCUUGUAGAGUUUAGAUUGUUAACUGGAGUUUUUUUUUUUGGGUGUAUUUUGCUGUUAAAUGCAGUGGGAUUUGAUGCUUUUUGUUAAGCGGCACACUAAAAAGCAUAAACUUAGAGCAUGGACUGGUACAUAUUUCUUUUGGUACAUCAAAUUUGUACUUAUUGAUUUUCUUGAGUUCUUGUUCAACAAAGGCAUUGGCUUUGCUGAGUAAGAAGGCAGGCUCUAUGAUGGAGUACAACUUAAAGGAUCAGAAUAUAGUUUAAGGGACAAGAAGGACAAGAAAACUACUUGUUUAUGGGGGUUCCAUGAUAUGUGAAAGUAAGAAAAUUUAUAAGAAACUUGCUCAUCUGGCAGUAAUUUAUAAGUAGUUCUUGGCUCAUGUGGUUUUCCAACUACAUGCUUUAUAAGUAGGUCCCCAGCUACCUGCUUUAUAAGUAGUUCUUGGCUGUAAAUCAUAGUACUAUAAUUAUUUGUUUUGUCCUUUUUCCCAUUGUCUAUUUUUGAUUUUUUUCCUGAGGCUUGUUUUAUUUUAGGAAAUUAUGCAUAUGAGAAAUGUUUUUAUGCAAUUAAAAUUUGAUGGUCAGUUUUUAAUGACCACUAAGUGAUGAUAAUGCUAUUCUUUGUAACAUUUAGAGCUCCUAGAGCUAAAUAUGUGGACUAUAGCCACUCUCACUUGAAAGAUUGUUUCCCCACAUUUAUUAGCACCUAUCAUGUAUUAAAUAUAUAACCAUUUUACAUUAAUCCACUUGCCUUCAUUUGAUCUUGAUUAA